Long non-coding RNA from Lolium rigidum, 2520 nucleotides. RefSeq lists it as uncharacterized. The record is from RefSeq and is a predicted model, not a curated record. Lineage: Eukaryota; Viridiplantae; Streptophyta; Magnoliopsida; Poales; Poaceae. The transcript has 7 exons.
GUUUCUAGGAGGCACUAAAAUGGAUACGAAUCAUGCCAUGAACCCUUCACGACCACAGAUCAAAGCGCUGCUACACGGGCAAACUGCCGGUGCUGAUGGUAGGAGUUCGCCCUGGCAUAGGGGAGGCACAGAGGUCGAGCUUGUGGUCACCUGCCCAGGCCGCUGCUGCCAGCAACCAUGCCCUCGAGCUUCUGCUCCGGCCACAGUUUCGACCACCCGCUCAUGCUGCCGUAUACGUCCCUUAGUUGCUGCUAACGUCCACCACUCCAAGCUGCUUCUGAUGCCUGAUGAGGUCUCUCUCCUCCAUCCGUUCUUUCUAAAAAUUGUAGCUUUUCUCCUUUUGAAUAUGUAGUCAGUAGUGAAAAUGAUAUGCAUUUGUGGGUAGAAAGUUUUGUCAAUCAAUACAACAUUGGUCUGAGCAUGUUUUAGUUUGUGAUAAUUUCAUAUGUGUUCAAUGGUUUAGUUUUUAUUUAUUUAGGUAUCGGCUGUGCAUUGCUUGGAGUUUCUGUGCGUCCUGUUUGCCUUGAGUUGUAGUUUCAUACUGUUCCCUUUUUUUGAAUAUUCAGAAUUCUGAACCUACAAGUUCAGUCUGCUACAUCCACCCUGUUGUUAUUCUGAAUUUCUGCUUGUUAUUAUUCAGACUGCUACAGGUUCAGAAUUUCUUAAUUUUUUUGAUUAUCCUUGUUAUUCUGACUUUAUGUUCCACUUUUGCAGUUGAUACUGGAGCUUGGACCAUACAUUGAGGAGCUCAAGAAUACACAUGGUGCUAUUUUCGAAUUUGGAAUUCCGAAGUAAUUGUUCUGCGCAUUUUCUCCAAGGAUUUCCUUUUUUACACUGCUAUUUGUUUUUUGAAUGGAAACAUUGCUAAUAGUGCAUCAAGUAUGUGUCUAAUUUCUAUUCCCUCUGUGGAAGUUCUUAGAUUGUUUAUAUCAGUGGUCAUUGGAGGUUGAGACAAUGAAGUUGCUCCUGAUUUUGCUAUGUUUUUUUAACCCAAUUUACUUGUGAAUGCUUGUCUCUUCCAUUUCUUUAUGCAUCACUUGUGAUAAUAGUAGUCCCUCUUGUUGUUAUUGACUCCAAUUGGUGUACACAAAGCCUCAAAAAAGGGGUACAUAUAGUUAUUUUAUUUGCUCAUUAACAUGUGUUUUAUAGUAUCUUUCUAGAUGCAUUUUUUUUUGAGCGGGAUGCAUAAUUGAUUAAGAGGUUACAACUAAUCAAAUAAGCUCUAUUUGUAAUCAAACAUGAUAUUUUUUCACUAUCUACAGUAAAAUGUGUGUGCUAGCUCAAUUAACUACAAAUUACUACUUGUUUAUAUGAAACUUUUUUUAUUUGCUUGUUGCUUAUGUAUAUUCAAUGUUGAAACCUGUAUAUUUUUCAGGUUAAAACCCUAUUGGUUGCUCGACUUGGCCUAAAUGACGACUGUGACGAGGACCGAGUUGUGGUGCCCUUCGUCUCUGCUCCCUCUUCAAGCUUCCCAGCUGCCUGCUACCGGUUACUGAGAGAUAGAUGGCGGUGCUCGCCCAUGCUCUGAAGCCGCUGCCGCAGAAGCAGGUGUAGUUCAUCGAUCGAGGUGACCGAGGAGAGCUACAAUGCAUAAAGGAGGCGAAGGUCAUGUCCAUCGAGGCAAUUUCAGCAGGCUUCUAGUCUUGCUUCCCUUCUGCGCAAACAGAGUUCAGAUUGAACUUUGUUUUGUGAUCUGUUUGGGCAUGUGUUGUGCUAAUUACCAGGGAAAUUGGAACCUAAUGUUGAUCAUCUUGGAACCUAAUGUUGAUCAUCUUUCCAAGGAGAUCCUGCUGAGUCCAACCUCAGCAAUCAUGUAUGGUUUUAGAGUUAUCAACAAGUGAGGCUUCAAAUAAUGUUAAGGAGUCCACAAGGCAGGUGGAGGUGCUUCAGAAAGGCCUCGAGGACGUCGUGGCCUGGUCUUGGUUAAAACCUUUAUGGUGUAGGUGUUUCGGCUUCGUCUCAAGGACAUCGUGGCCGGCCCUAGGUUAAAGCCUCUAUGGUUCUGCUGCUUGGGUCUUGUGCAUGUUCCUGAUUUGUAUCAUCCUUGAGGAGGAUGGCGCGGCCUGGCCUACCGCCUCCCUCGUCGACCUUUUUGGGUCCGUCGUCAUCCAGCAUGGUCUCGAGGAUGUCGUGGCCUGGCCUUGGUUAAACCUUUAUGGUUCCGCCGCUUGCGUCAGCUGCAUUUCAUGAUGUGUAUCGGCAUUGAGGAGGACGGAGCGGCCUGUCCUACCAUCAUCACCCAGCAUGCUCUCGCGGUGCUCCUUCUGCGCUGGCUUUUGCCCGUGUGAUAUUGUUUGAAAGGAUUCUUGUACAGUUGUACUCCCUCCAUUCAGAAAAAAAUGACGCGAGUGGUGCAUAAAAAGUAGCCUAGGGACACGGACGUAUUGCGCGUCAAUUAAACAUGACCAGAGGUAUUAGUAUUCAGUGGCUACAAAUAAAGUUUGAAUGAUCUGAAGUUGUAAUAUACAUUCAUAAUAUACAGCUGUUCAUGAUUCAUUAUGUCCUCGAUUCAACUUCUGA